GGUUUUAAACUUUAUUUUUCCAUGUACAGUUUCAGAUUAUACAAAACAUAGAAAAUGGACUACUUUAAAGGCACAUUAAGUAGAAAGUAUCUAACUACUCUUAAAAUCACAUUUGUCCCCAAAUCAAGAUUCAAACUCAACACCUUUCCCUAGCAUCUCCCCAUCACCACUGCACCCCACCCCCAAUAUACAAAACUGUCCAACUUGCUGUAUUGUAAGUAAUCUUUCAACUAUUAGCGAGUUUAGUAAUUCCCAUCCAGGCAGAUUUUAAAUGAGGCUGCAGCAUCUAUUCAAGCUACCGCGUUUAGUGUGCUUACAUACAGGCUUGAGGGGUUAGGUUUCUUCAUCACCAGUGAAUACAGAGCACCCUAGGGCUUCAUCCUCUCGAUUAGGGAUGCGCAGAGACACACAACCCAUUGCAGAGAAUGUGGGGCAGGGAGGGGGGAAAAUGUCUCCAAUUUUCCUGUAUUCACAUAUGAAUAUAUACAUUCACGCAGAGCAACAAAUCAAGCAUUCUCCAAACUUAUUUGAACAAAGACCCAAAGUAAUUUUAAUACGAGUAAUAAAAAUGAGUUAGUCUGUCUUCAUUCAUAGCCCCUCAAUGAAAGA
RNAcentral lists this long non-coding RNA (609 nucleotides) under Bos taurus (domestic cattle). RNAcentral's name for it is "long non-coding RNA NONBTAT015487". Lineage: Eukaryota; Metazoa; Chordata; Mammalia; Artiodactyla; Bovidae. The record is from RNAcentral.